RNAcentral lists this ribosomal RNA (580 nucleotides) under Yamadazyma aaseri. Its description in RNAcentral is "eukaryotic LSU rRNA". It matches the Rfam family "Eukaryotic large subunit ribosomal RNA", at positions 36 to 670 of the family's 3401-position model. The record is from RNAcentral. Lineage: Eukaryota; Fungi; Ascomycota; Pichiomycetes; Serinales; Debaryomycetaceae.
AUUGCAUAUCAAUAAGCGGAGGAAAAGAAACCAACAGGGAUUGCCUUAGUAGCGGCGGGUGAAGCGGCAAUAGCUCAAAUUUGAAAUCUGGCACCUUCGGUGUCCGAGUUGUAAUCUGAAGAAGGUAUCUUUGGUUUUGGCCCUUGUCUAUGUUUCUUGGAACAGGACGUCACAGAGGGUGAGAAUCCCGUGCGACAAGGUGCCCAAUUCCAUGUAAAGUUCCUUCGACGAGUCGAGUUGUUUGGGAAUGCAGCUCUAAGUGGGUGGUAAAUUCCAUCUAAAGCUAAAUAUUGGCGAGAGACCGAUAGCGAACAAGUACUGUGAAGGAAAGAUGAAAAGAACUUUGAAAAGAGAGUGAAAAAGUACGUGAAAUUGUUGAAAGGGAAGGGCUUGAGGUCAGACUUGGUUUUACCAGGCCAGCAUCAGUUUGGAUGGCAGGAUAAUAGCUAAGAAAAGUGGCACAGCUUCGGUUGUGUGUUAUAGUCUUGGUUGAUACUGCCUGUCCAGACUGAGGACUGCGUCUUUGACUAGGAUGCUGGCAUAAUGACCUUAAGCCGCCCGUCUUGAAACACGGACCAAU